CAAGAAACGAGGCCGCGUGCGCUCGCCCGCCCGGCCCCGCUCCUUACCUUGCCUACUGCACCGUUUGUUGCUUCCUGGCGGCGGACUGCCCGCCGCCAGGGACGUUGAUACAGCCCUGUAUAGAAGCAUUGAAGCUCCUGAGAAAACGCGAAAUCGUA
RNAcentral lists this unclassified non-coding RNA (158 nucleotides) under soil metagenome. RNAcentral describes it as "partial internal transcribed spacer 1". The record is from RNAcentral.